This 30-nucleotide non-coding RNA is filed under the name Mus musculus (house mouse). The record is from RNAcentral. Lineage: Eukaryota; Metazoa; Chordata; Mammalia; Rodentia; Muridae.
UGAAAUUGCUUAGUCUUCUUCCGAGGAGCC